CCUUUGUCUUCCGUGUCUUGUCGGCUUCUGCUGUCUGCCCUUCCCCAAACUUGGUGGUUUGGGAUGUUGGGUUGGGGGGCGGGGAACGCGGGGAGAUUUUUGGGACGGGAAGUGUGCUUGGCAAAUGCUCCCAGGCAAGUGCAUUGCAAUGUGAAUCUGUGCCCUGCAGGACAGAAAAAUACCGACGGGUCGCCUAGCAGAUUGGGCAUCGGUGUAACAGUUUUUUUUUUAAAUUAGUCCUCAUCGACCAAGUCUGUCAAAAACAGAGAAGCUGUGGGUUUAUUUGAACAUUUUUAAGGCGCUCAAAGACUUUGUUUAUUUAAAGCACUUUGAGAUAUGCCAGAUUUAAGUAAAUGGAAACUUUAGCCGCCUCAGGAGCACUGAGCAAGAUUUGAGGUAAGCCAUUGUAACGUGUUGUCCGACUCUCCAGCCUGCUGGUAGAAUAUUCAAAGCAAAAACCCAACUGAAGUAAGCUACUCGCAUUGCAAUUUAGACAGGAGCCAGCACAGCCUGAGUAGAGCGUGGUUCCCAUCCAAUUCAUCUUUGAUUACUCCUAAAACUUUCCAUUCCCAAGUUGUCCACUUGCACAAGGGCAACUCACAUGUGAUUGAACAUGGGAGAGGCUAUCCAGUGACAUGGAGACCAGAGAAGAAAUUAUCAGAGGAAUGGACUGGGGAAAAUGGGACCAUGUUCUAGCUCUUCCAGUGAAAUCCAUUUAUUCAAAGAACAAUGACUGAGCGUUGAGUGCGUCUGAGAUGUUUGCUGUACUCUAAAUGUUUAUGGCCCCUCAAAAUUUAUAUGUUGAAAUCUGAUCUCCAAAAUGAUAGUAUCAGCAGAGGAGGGGACUUUGGGGAUGAGUGGGUCAUGAGGGUGGAACCACAUAAAAGGGAUCUGUGCCCUUUUAAAAGAGGCUGCAGAUAGCUCUGUCGCCCCUUUGGCCUCUGGAGGAUACAAGGAGAAGUUAGGGAUCUGCGGCAAGGAAUAGGGCUCUCACCAGUGAGCACUGACUGCCAGGAUUCUGGUCUUGGACUUCCAGCUCUAGAACUGGGAGGAAUAAAUGUUUGUUGUUUAUAAACUA
Molecule: long non-coding RNA, 1078 nt
Filed under: Sus scrofa (pig)
Lineage: Eukaryota; Metazoa; Chordata; Mammalia; Artiodactyla; Suidae
Description: lncRNA (multiple genes)
Source: RNAcentral